RNAcentral lists this transfer RNA (71 nucleotides) under Ovis aries (sheep). It matches the Rfam family "tRNA". From Rfam's summary of the family: Transfer RNA (tRNA) molecules are approximately 80 nucleotides in length. Their secondary structure includes four short double-helical elements and three loops (D, anti-codon, and T loops). Further hydrogen bonds mediate the characteristic L-shaped molecular structure. tRNAs have two regions of fundamental functional importance: the anti-codon, which is responsible for specific mRNA codon recognition, and the 3' end, to which the tRNAs corresponding amino acid is attached (by aminoacyl-tRNA synthetases). tRNAs cope with the degeneracy of the genetic code in two manners: having more than one tRNA (with a specific anti-codon) for a particular amino acid; and 'wobble' base-pairing, i.e. permitting non-standard base-pairing at the 3rd anti-codon position. Lineage: Eukaryota; Metazoa; Chordata; Mammalia; Artiodactyla; Bovidae. The record is from Rfam by way of RNAcentral.
UCCCUCAUAGCUCAGUUGGUAAGGAAUCUGCCUGUAGUGCAGGAGAUCCAGGUUCGAUUCCUGGGUCGGAA